CACCGAGGAGCUGGUCUCCGGUCUGAGAGUGGAACACGAGUCUCCUGCUAAUGGCGGGGCUGAAUGCGACGGCGUCAUACGGGAUGGAAAGAAAGAACGCAACUUGUGCUGAUGAAACUACAAGUAAAUGAAGAGUUGAGGCUGUCGGAAGUCUUGGCGGGGUCCGUGAACUCGGUGUCAUUCCAAGGUCCCGCGAAACUAGUGGAAUUUGACCUUGUGUCUGAAAUCAAAUUUAAC
Plodia interpunctella (Indianmeal moth) is the source of this 237-nucleotide long non-coding RNA. RefSeq lists it as uncharacterized. The transcript has 3 exons. The record is from RefSeq and is a predicted model, not a curated record. NCBI's taxonomy places the organism in Eukaryota, Metazoa, Arthropoda, Insecta, Lepidoptera, Pyralidae.